CCUACGGGAGGCUGCAGUAGGGAAUAUUGCUCAAUGGGGGAAACCCUGAAGCAGCAACGCCGCGUGGAGGAUGAAGGUUUUCGGAUUGAUAACUCCUUUUUGUAGGGAAGAUAAUGACGGUAUCUGACGAAUAAGCACCGGCUAACUCCGUGCCAGCAGCCGCGGUAAUACGGAGGGUGCAAGCGUUACUCGGAAUCACUGGGCGUAAAGAGCGCGUAGGCGGGAUAGCAAGUCAGAUGUGAAAUCCUAUGGCUUAACCAUAGAACUGCAUUUGAAACUGUUAUUCUAGAGUAUGGGAGAGGUAGGUGGAAUGCUUGGUGUAGGGGUAAAAUCCGUAGAGAUCAAGAGGAAUACUGAUUGCGAAGGCGACCUGCUAGAACAUAACUGACGCUGAUGCGCGAAAGCGUGGGGAGCAAACAGGAUUAGAUACCCUUGUAGUC
RNAcentral lists this ribosomal RNA (440 nucleotides) under uncultured bacterium. Its description in RNAcentral is "partial 16S ribosomal RNA". It matches the Rfam family "Bacterial small subunit ribosomal RNA", at positions 338 to 795 of the family's 1533-position model. The record is from RNAcentral.